This 452-nucleotide ribosomal RNA is filed under the name uncultured bacterium. RNAcentral describes it as "bacterial SSU rRNA". It matches the Rfam family "Bacterial small subunit ribosomal RNA", at positions 335 to 779 of the family's 1533-position model. The record is from RNAcentral.
ACUCCUACGGGAGGCAGCAGUGGGGAAUAUUGCACAAUGGGCGCAAGCCUGAUGCAGCCAUGCCGCGUGUAUGAAGAAGGCCUUCGGGUUGUAAAGUACUUUCAGCAGUGAGGAAGGCGGGUACGUUAAUAGCGUGCUUGUUUGACGUUAGCUGCAGAAGAAGCACCGGCUAACUCCGUGCCAGCAGCCGCGGUAAUACGGAGGUGCGAGCGUUAAUCGGAAUUACUGGGCGUAAAGCGCAUGCAGGGUGGUUUGUUAAGUCAGAUGUGAAAGCCCGGGGCUCAACCUCGGAAUUGCAUUUGAAACUGGCAGGCUAGAGUCUUGUAGAGGGGGGUAGAAUUUCAGGUGUAGCGGUGAAAUGCGUAGAGAUCUGAAGGAAUACCAGUGGCGAAGGCGGCCCCCUGGACAAAGACUGACGCUCAGAUGCGAAAGCGUGGGGAGCAAACAGGAUU